Molecule: long non-coding RNA, 829 nt
Organism: Lathyrus oleraceus (garden pea)
Lineage: Eukaryota; Viridiplantae; Streptophyta; Magnoliopsida; Fabales; Fabaceae
Exons: 2
Source: RefSeq, a predicted model, not a curated record
GAAUAAGGAAGAACCUUCAUGUUUUUUAGGGAAUGAAGAACUACAAUAUAAUAGGUCUUUAAAAAAUAAAUAAUAUUACAUCCUAACAACCCCCUACUAACUUAACAAUGCAAAUUACAUAUUAAUAACAAAUUGAUAUCAUCCUUUAAGCUCAAGGAAAUAGUACCAGAACCCUGCUUCAUGACUUGCUACAAACCAACUCCAAGCAUGAACAGGAGGGAAUAAUCACGUAGGAGACAAUUGAAACCAUUUCAAGUAUACUAUAAAAUAAAAAUCAAUCAGUAUGAGUUCUUUUCCAUUAUCUUGGUAUGUAGCACCAACAUGUUGUCUGAUGUAAGAAAGGCUAAAUGGGUCUUUGGCUCUACUUAUCCCGAGAUGAUUAAGCAUGCACAUCAUUUCUCCAAGUCAUUACAUGAUGAAGUCGUAUGUCUCUAUUACUUUAAAGGGGAGACGGAAAAGCAAUUAAGGAAACUAUUGAUAGCAUGCCCUCAAUAGUGAAUAUGCUUUUGAUGAUGACAACUAAUAAGAACUCUUAAUAAUACAACCUGUGCAAUUACCAAGCGAUUACAGAUGUAAACAGACAAAGUUAGGGUUUGAUGAUCACUACAAAGACCCUUUGAUGACGACACUCAACAAGAAUAAAUAUUUAGCCUCAUCUUCAAGACGAAUUUAAGCAAGUGUAUGUAUUACUGAAUUAUUUGACAAAUCUUGAAGUUAAUAAUGUCAAAGAGAGGAAGUGUGAAAGCCCACUAAGUUGCAUCUGAGUGAUCAGAGUGUUGUAAAAACACAAUGACGUUUUCGUUAUGUUACAACUAAUAACACACAUACA